AUUGAACGCUGGCGGCAGGCCUAACACAUGCAAGUCGAGCGGAUGAAGGGAGCUUGCUCCUGGCUUCAGCGGCGGACGGGUGUGUAAUGCCUAUGAAUCUGCCUGGUAGUGGUGGAUAACGUCCGGAAACGGGCGCUAAUACCGCAUACGUCCUGAUGUAGAAAGUGGGGGAUCUUCGGACCUCUCGCUAUCAUAUGAGCCUAGGUCGGAUUAGCUAGUUGGUGGGGUAAAGGCCUACCAAGGCGACGAUCCGUAACUGGUCUGAGAGGAUGAUCAGUCACACUGGAACUGAGACACGGUCCAGAGUCCUACGGGAGGAAGCAGUGGGGAAUAUUGGACAAUGGGCGAAAGCCUGAUACAGCCAUGCCGCGUGUGUGAAGAAGGUCUUCGGAUUGUAAAGCACUUUAAGUGGGGAGGAAGGGCAGUAAGUGAAUACCUUGCUGUAUUGACGUUACCAACAGAAUAAGCACCGGCUAACUACGUG
Molecule: ribosomal RNA, 484 nt
Filed under: uncultured bacterium
Lineage: Bacteria
Description: partial 16S ribosomal RNA
Rfam family: Bacterial small subunit ribosomal RNA
Source: RNAcentral